Molecule: ribosomal RNA, 496 nt
Filed under: uncultured bacterium
Lineage: Bacteria
Description: partial 16S ribosomal RNA
Rfam family: Bacterial small subunit ribosomal RNA
Source: RNAcentral
AUGAACGCUGGCGGCGUGCCUAAUACAUGCAAGUCGCGCGAACAGACGAGGAGCUUGCUCCUCUGACGUUAGCGGCGGACGGGUGAGUAACACGUGGAUAACCUACCUAUAAGACUGGGAUAACUUCGGGAAACCGGAGCUAAUACCGGAUAAUAUAUUGAACCGCAUGGUUCAAUAGUGAAAGACGGUUUUGCUGUCACUUAUAGAUGGAUCCGCGCCGCAUUAGCUAGUUGGUAAGGUAACGGCUUACCAAGGCAACGAUGCGUAGCCGACCUGAGAGGGUGAUCGGCCACACUGGAACUGAGACACGGUCCAGACUCCUACGGGAGGCAGCAGUAGGGAAUCUUCCGCAAUGGGCGAAAGCCUGACGGAGCAACGCCGCGUGAGUGAUGAAGGUCUUCGGAUCGUAAAACUCUGUUAUUAGGGAAGAACAAAUGUGUAAGUAACUAUGAACGUCUUGACGGUACCUAAUCAGAAAGCCACGGCUAACUACGUG